CUGCCCAGACUCCGCCAUGCUCUCAGAAGAGUGUUAAUGCUGGGCAUGAGACAUGGAGUGAGGUGACUCUGGCUAGGAUCAGAAGGAUAAGCCAGCCUUCACGCGGGGCCUCCAUGCCUCUGCCCCCACUGGCCCAGAGAAUCACUAGUGCAAGCCAGCCUUCACGUGGGGCCUCCGUGCCCCUGCCCCACUGGCCCAGAGAAUCACUAGUGCAUGCUCAGUGGGAAGCAGGAAUCCAGGUAAUAACAAGCCUGCUCAAGAACUCGUCUUUCAUCUCAGCAUCGCAGCACACUUAGAAAUAUUAACAGCUUAAUAUGAGUCUAUGGGACGAGAGGCAUUCAAAGACACCGGGUAGCUCAGGUGUCUCGGAUUCCCCAUAUGGGAAUGGGACUUAAUAGCUAGCAUGACAGCCUGCAGGACAGCUAUCAUUAACCCUUGCCACACAUGCAGUAGAGGGCACCACUGCCUACUCCCUGCCCCAGGGGGGAAUCCCAGAGCCUGGAUGACCUGCAAAGGAUGGGGUACAGGAGACUCGGGUCACAAGGAUGGGCUCAUCAGCUGCUGGGGAGAUGACUGGGAUAAUGGCUGCAACAGAAGGCAAAGCACACACACCCAUGCGGUCCGUGAGAGUGUCCUGAGGCAGGAGUAUGACUGACUGACAAAGAGGCAUUUGUCUAGAACAGAAAUGAAAUGUCGAGCUGACGGGUCCAGAUCUCUGGGAACAGAUGCUAGAAGACAUGGAGGAUGGCACAGGCGCCACGUCAGUCACUCUGAGGACCCACUCGGAAGCAAAGGAGCACCUGACUGAGGAUUUCAGCUAUGUGAGGAGAGGGUGAAAGCAAGUAUAUAGCUCGCACACAAACACACACACACAUACACACAUACCACAUGCAUAUACAGUACACACAUGCAUACACAGCACACACACAUACCAUAUACAUACACAUGUAACACAAACUCACAUACACAUGCAAUGCUCGCACACACAGACACACUUAUACACACAAAGGCACACACAUGCAUAUACGUACACAUAUGCCUAUACAAAUUCUCUCUCUCUCUGUCUCUCUCUGUCUCUCUGUCUCUCUCUGUCUCUCUGUCUCUCUGUCUCUCUGUCUCUCUCUCUCUCUCUCUCUCUCUCUCUCUCUCUCUCCUGUAAACUUAACUGAGAGCAUCUGCCCAGAUCAUUUCAGUAUGGACUCACUCAGAGCCCCAGGAGGAGGGAGACCUACUUGGGUCAGCUUACUGUGAACUCACAGAGAGGCAGGGCCUGGACUAACUGGAAGGGACACCAGAGCAGCAAGCAAGAAGAAAGGGCAAUCAAACAAAUACCUGGGCCCACAUUUCCACCUGAGGGUGACCCCAGAGGAGAGGGUUAGCUGCCUAGAGAAGGCUCACCAUCCGCACUCCUG
Molecule: long non-coding RNA, 1412 nt
Filed under: Mus musculus (house mouse)
Lineage: Eukaryota; Metazoa; Chordata; Mammalia; Rodentia; Muridae
Description: long non-coding RNA chr5:128520220-128521632
Source: RNAcentral